This 540-nucleotide ribosomal RNA is filed under the name uncultured bacterium. RNAcentral's name for it is "bacterial SSU rRNA". It matches the Rfam family "Bacterial small subunit ribosomal RNA", at positions 335 to 870 of the family's 1533-position model. The record is from RNAcentral.
CACCUACGGGAGGCUGCAGUGGGGAAUUUUGGACAAUGGGCGCAAGCCUGAUCCAGCAAUGCCGCGUGCAGGAUGAAGGCCUUCGGGUUGUAAACUGCUUUUGUACGGAACGAAAAGGUUCUCUCUAAUACAGGGGGCAUAUGACGGUACCGUAAGAAUAAGCACCGGCUAACUACGUGCCAGCAGCCGCGGUAAUACGUAGGGUGCGAGCGUUAAUCGGAAUUACUGGGCGUAAAGCGUGCGCAGGCGGUUUUGUAAGACAGAGGUGAAAUCCCCGGGCUCAACCUGGGAACUGCCUUUGUGACUGCAAGGCUGGAGUGCGGCAGAGGGGGAUGGAAUUCCGCGUGUAGCAGUGAAAUGCGUAGAUAUGCGGAGGAACACCGAUGGCGAAGGCAAUCCCCUGGGCCUGCACUGACGCUCAUGCACGAAAGCGUGGGGAGCAAACAGGAUUAGAUACCCUGGUAGUCCACGCCCUAAACGAUGUCGACUGGUUGUUGGGGGUUAAUUCACUCAGUAACGAAGCUAACGCGUGAAGUGACC